CCUACGGGUGGCUGCAGUCGAGAAUCUUCGGCAAUGGGCGAAAGCCUGACCGAGCGAUGCCGCGUGCGGGAUGAAGGCCCUCGGGUUGUAAACCGCUGUCGUAGAGGAGAAAGGUCUGAUGAAGAAUCAGAUUUGAUCUAUUCUAGGAGGAAGUCGGGGCUAAGUUCGUGCCAGCAGCCGCGGUAACACGAACCCGACGAACGUUAUUCGGAAUUAUUGGGCUUAAAGGGUGCGUAGGCGGUGCGGUAGGGAAAGCCCUCGGCUCAACCGAGGAAUUGCGCUUCAUACUGCCGUGCUGGAGGGAGACAGGGGUAAGCGGAACUGAUGGUGGAGCGGUGAAAUGCGUUGAUAUCAUCAGGAACACCGGUGGCGAAAGCGGCUUACUGGGUCUCUUCUGACGCUGAGGCACGAAAGCUAGGGUAGCGAACGGGAUUAGAUACCCCUGUAGUC
This 450-nucleotide ribosomal RNA is filed under the name uncultured bacterium. Its description in RNAcentral is "partial 16S ribosomal RNA". It matches the Rfam family "Bacterial small subunit ribosomal RNA", at positions 338 to 795 of the family's 1533-position model. The record is from RNAcentral.